AAGGAUUUAAGUUAAGUUAAACUGAUGACCUUCAAAGUCAUAAAUGGAGAUUCUCUAGCCCUUG
Molecule: transfer RNA, 64 nt
Filed under: Mordella atrata
Lineage: Eukaryota; Metazoa; Arthropoda; Insecta; Coleoptera; Mordellidae
Description: tRNA-Trp
Rfam family: tRNA
About the family: Transfer RNA (tRNA) molecules are approximately 80 nucleotides in length. Their secondary structure includes four short double-helical elements and three loops (D, anti-codon, and T loops). Further hydrogen bonds mediate the characteristic L-shaped molecular structure. tRNAs have two regions of fundamental functional importance: the anti-codon, which is responsible for specific mRNA codon recognition, and the 3' end, to which the tRNAs corresponding amino acid is attached (by aminoacyl-tRNA synthetases). tRNAs cope with the degeneracy of the genetic code in two manners: having more than one tRNA (with a specific anti-codon) for a particular amino acid; and 'wobble' base-pairing, i.e. permitting non-standard base-pairing at the 3rd anti-codon position.
Source: RNAcentral